Molecule: transfer RNA, 84 nt
Filed under: Nanobdellota archaeon
Lineage: Archaea; Nanobdellati; Nanobdellota
Description: tRNA-Leu
Rfam family: tRNA
About the family: Transfer RNA (tRNA) molecules are approximately 80 nucleotides in length. Their secondary structure includes four short double-helical elements and three loops (D, anti-codon, and T loops). Further hydrogen bonds mediate the characteristic L-shaped molecular structure. tRNAs have two regions of fundamental functional importance: the anti-codon, which is responsible for specific mRNA codon recognition, and the 3' end, to which the tRNAs corresponding amino acid is attached (by aminoacyl-tRNA synthetases). tRNAs cope with the degeneracy of the genetic code in two manners: having more than one tRNA (with a specific anti-codon) for a particular amino acid; and 'wobble' base-pairing, i.e. permitting non-standard base-pairing at the 3rd anti-codon position.
Source: RNAcentral
GCAGGGGUGCCACAGUGGUCAACUGGGGUAGCUUGAGGGGCUAUCGGCUUAGUGCCUGCGCAGGUUCGAAUCCUGUCCUCUGCA